Molecule: ribosomal RNA, 422 nt
Filed under: uncultured bacterium
Lineage: Bacteria
Description: partial 16S ribosomal RNA
Rfam family: Bacterial small subunit ribosomal RNA
Source: RNAcentral
GAAUUUUGGACAAAGAGCGAAAACCUGAUCCAGCAAUGCUGCGUGCAGUAUGAAAGACUUCGGGUUGUAAACUGCUUAUGCACGGAACGAAAAACUUUGGUCUAAUACCCCGGAAUCAUGCCGCUACCGUAGGAAUACGAACCAGCUCACUACCGGCCAGCAGCCGCGGUAAUACGUAGGGUGCAAGCGUUAAUCGGAAUUACUGGGCGUAAAGCGGGCGCAGGCGGUUUCGUAAGACAGAGGUGAAAUCCCCGGGCUCAACGUGGGAACUGCCUUUGUGACUGCAAGGCUAGAGUACGGCAGAGGGGGGUGGAAUUCCGCGUGUAGCAGUGAAAUGCGUAGAUAUGCGGAGGAACACCGAUGGCGAAGGCAACCCCCUGGGCCUGUACUGACGCUCAUGCACGAAAGCGUGGGGAGCAAAC